RNAcentral lists this ribosomal RNA (668 nucleotides) under uncultured archaeon. Its description in RNAcentral is "bacterial SSU rRNA". It matches the Rfam family "Archaeal small subunit ribosomal RNA", at positions 203 to 871 of the family's 1478-position model. The record is from RNAcentral.
CCGAGGAUGGGUCUGCGGCGGAUUAGGUAGUUGGUGGGGUAACGGCCCACCAAGCCUAAGAUCCGUACGGGCUGUGGGAGCAGGAGCCCGGAGAUGGACCCUGAGACAAGGGUCCAGGCCCUACGGGGCGCAGCAGGCGCGAAACCUCCGCAAUGCGGGAAACCGCGACGGGGUUAGCCGGAGUGCCCGUGCAUUGCACGGGCUGUCGGGGUGCCUAAACAGCACCCCAUAGCAAGGGCCGGGCAAGGCCGGUGGCAGCCGCCGCGGUAAGACCGGCGGCCCGAGUGGCGGCCACUCUUAUUGGGCCUAAAGCGUCCGUAGCCGGCCCAGUAAGUCCCCCGGGAAAUCUGGUCGCUUAACGAUCAGACUUCCGGGGGAUACUGCUGGGCUAGGGACCGGGAGAGGCCGAGGGUAUUCCCGGGGUAGGGGUGAAAUCCUGUAAUCCCGGGAGGACCACCUGUGGCGAAGGCGCUCGGCUGGAACGGGUCCGACGGUGAGGGACGAAGGCCUGGGGAGCGAACCGGAUUAGAUACCCGGGUAGUCCAGGCUGUAAACGAUGCGGGCUAGGUGUCACCGGAGCUACGAGCUCCGGUGGUGCCGGAGGGAAGCCGUUAAGCCCGCCGCCUGGGGAGUACGGCCGCAAGGCUGAAACUUAAAGGAAUUGACGG